GACCGUGACGGUACGUGAGCGGUGAGASAACCCAGUGCGCUGGCGGGCCCCCUGCUAAAGUGCGGCCGACCGCGAGUGCGAUGGGAUAUGCUUUGUCUGUGAAAUUUCAAAGUUGUGCCUCUGCACGAUGCGGAGGGCAUAUUCGGUGGGUUGUAUCGCAUAGUCGGGACGCGGCAACUAGGUGACCUUACGUUAAUAACGUCAUGUCCUUUUGCUCACUCUCGCUCCCCUUGGGCGGGCGAGAAGCGAGAAGCGGCCUCUUACGACAUCCCGUGCGUCCUCGGCGGCGGCGCUUGCAGUCGCACACGUGUGCGUGUUGCCUGUUUCGUCUGUCCGUYUGGACCUCGGGACGGUUGAGUGCUUAUGGAUGCGGUGAAUCGGAUGGGGUCGGGUGGGCGCAUGUUGUUGCCGACCCGACGAAUGGAAGAUGUUUGUGCACGUCGCGAGCGGGCAAACGAAUGGAACGGAAUGAACGACCGCCGGCWGGCGGGCGUCGUCGUCGUCGUCUCGCCUCCACGGAGGGAGAGAUGGGCUGCGCCGUCCGCGGGCGUCGUCUAGAARGAUUCGCUACCUGGUUGAUC
This 581-nucleotide unclassified non-coding RNA is filed under the name Philodendron fragrantissimum. Its description in RNAcentral is "partial external transcribed spacer". The record is from RNAcentral. Lineage: Eukaryota; Viridiplantae; Streptophyta; Magnoliopsida; Alismatales; Araceae.